CGGGACGUAGCGCAGUUUGGUAGCGCGCCUGCUUUGGGAGCAGGGGGUCGCAGGUUCGAAUCCUGUCGUCCCGACCA
This 77-nucleotide transfer RNA is filed under the name compost metagenome. Its description in RNAcentral is "tRNA-Pro". It matches the Rfam family "tRNA". Rfam says of the family: Transfer RNA (tRNA) molecules are approximately 80 nucleotides in length. Their secondary structure includes four short double-helical elements and three loops (D, anti-codon, and T loops). The record is from RNAcentral.